RNAcentral lists this ribosomal RNA (253 nucleotides) under uncultured bacterium. RNAcentral's name for it is "partial 16S ribosomal RNA". It matches the Rfam family "Bacterial small subunit ribosomal RNA", at positions 524 to 776 of the family's 1533-position model. The record is from RNAcentral.
UACGUAGGGUGCAAGCGUUGUCCGGAAUUAUUGGGCGUAAAGAGCGCGCAGGCGGUCGUUCAAGUCGAGUGUGAAAGCCCCCGGCUCAACUGGGGAGGGUCAUUCGAUACUGAUCGACUGGAAGGCAGGAGAGGGAAGCGGAAUUCCCGGUGUAGUGGUGAAAUGCGUAGAUAUCGGGAGGAACACCAGUGGCGAAGGCGGCUUCCUGGCCUGUUCUUGACGCUGAGGCGCGAAAGCUAGGGGAGCAAACGGG